GAGGAAGAGGUGUAGUGUUUCCUGACUGAAGGUACCAUAUCCACUAUCGCGACGCGACGUACCCCGUAGUACAGCAAAAUUGUUGACGCCAACUCGUGCAGCCUUCCAUCGGCGCCGGCUCAUGCGAAUCUCGUCGGUGAGACCCCGCUCCCUCGUGUUCCGUUUCUUCCUUUCUUGUCUAUCUAACCUCCCCUGCUCUCCCUUUCUUUCUGCAGGAGCGGCAGCAAGCCAUGGGAGACUAUCUGAAUUCGAGUUCAUCUCGCCGCCACCGGGAAUCGGCUCCCCUCGGCCGGAUCCGCAUGAGCCCCGCUAUGACCACGCCCCUGCUGGAGCUCGAAGCCACAGUCCGGCCUGCCCGCUGCCUGACGUCCUCUUCGAUUUCCUUGCGAUGAGCACUUCCAGCCAUGGUCGGAAGGCUUCACUCGUUUCCUAGAUCCAUUUUGACGUUUAGUUUAUAUUAUGACGCCUCUACUUUUGGUCACCAACACAUUAUCUAUCGCAGUGGCUUUCAACACUAGUUUUUUGCCGGGCGACCAGGGAUAAAUCCCCGUGGCCGCAAUAUAUAUUUUUUCCAGCAAAUUUGCUUCUUCAAAGAAGCAGCUCCUUGUGUUAUUUGAGGUACCGCCAGAUGCUUAUUUAUAGCACAAAGGCACAACCAGCCUGACUAGUUAACCCAGUGCAUGGAUAUCAUGGUGAUUUGGGUUCGAGUCCAACACACCCUAGUUUUGGAGUGCAUUUUUUUCUUGUUGUUGUGACCUGCCGCUCGGGGCUGAAAACCUCCUGGGCCGCUGCAGUGUGCUGCAAUCCGGCCCGUAUUCUUUUCU
RNAcentral lists this long non-coding RNA (824 nucleotides) under Hordeum vulgare. RNAcentral's name for it is "long non-coding RNA (HVUL_LNC010184)". Lineage: Eukaryota; Viridiplantae; Streptophyta; Magnoliopsida; Poales; Poaceae. The record is from RNAcentral.